AUGAACCCAAGUGGUUGCGGUGAUAGUGACUUGAAAAUGAUUGCGCAAGGAUUAUUUCGAGUGAGGAACAUGAAAGGCGAGAAGAAGAAGAAACAAGGAAAAGCUUUCACUUUUCAUCAUUGCUACAAAGAGCUUAAGGAUGAGGAGAAGUGGAAAACUAGAGAGACUUUUGAUGCUUCGAAGAAGAAGAGUGUGGUGAUUGAGGAUGAAGAUGUCGCCGGUGAGGAAAGAAGGAGCCCCACUCCUCACUCCGCGACAAAAUCUUAUAGGCCCAAUGGAAACAAGAAAGUGAAGAGAGCCAAGGCCAGAGACAAUGAUCUCAAGGAAGGAUUUGAUGCCAUUGUCACGACAAGGAAAGAGUAUGCUGAAGAAAAAGAAUGUUGA
Molecule: ribosomal RNA, 384 nt
Filed under: Triticum aestivum (bread wheat)
Lineage: Eukaryota; Viridiplantae; Streptophyta; Magnoliopsida; Poales; Poaceae
Description: partial small subunit ribosomal RNA
Source: RNAcentral